CCGAUGAACAGUGAUUUGAGAUCAUUUUAGUUUUCGUUUCCAAAGAGCACAGAAAACGUAAAUAUGCAUGUUUAAAUACUGUAGUGAAUGCGAGACUAAAAAGUGGUGAGGUGCCUCCUUCAGACUUAAAAUAUUACCAAAUUACAACAUUUUAUAAAAGAAUGAAGGAAAAUGGAAAGAAGUUGGAAAAAUUAAAAUCCGUGUUAAACAGCCCCUUUGACUUUAACUAGCUUUUCUACUUUACUUAGGUUUGAUUGAGUACGACCAACUCGUAAACAUAUUGUUUACUUUUUCAUCACAUGUUUUACUGACAAUAUCGUUUCAUCUAGCCUUGAUGUAAGUGUAUAAAUGUACAGUUACCGGAGAAAGUAAUUCAAUAGAUGUUAAAAACCGAAGAACAAAACAGCAAAAGACAAAAUGUUUCGUAAACUUAUUUUACUUAUUGCUGUCGUAUGCCUGGUGGAAACGACGUGGAGUUUAGAACGCAUUGAGUGCUUAUUUCUGACAUUAAUUUAUUUACAAUGGUUAAUAGACGCUGCCAUUUGUCAUCAGUGACAGAAACAUUUAUUACAAACUAAAAGAGAACAUUGGGUUGCGAACCUGGGUGUCGUGCUUCCAAGUGUUAUUACAAUGUGCCAUGUUUGGAAUGCGAACCUGGUUACUGUUUAUAGUAAGUAUUUCUUUCAAAUGAUACUUGAGACUUUUUAUCAGAACAGUGCAGAAUAGCUUACAAAACGAGGGGAAUUCAGAACAUUUUGAGACUAGCGCGCUUCCAUAGAAGCUAUCACAGAUACAAGCACGAUUUUUUUCCAUGGCUUUCUAGGGGGUUUCAUUUGCCAUUAGCCAUGUACAGUAGCAUUUUCAACACAAUUGGUCAAAUUAUAACGUCUAAAGUUUUAACACCUCACACUCUUAUAGUCUUAUUUUAUCACAAUCGUGGAGGCUCCGGGUAGGAAGGAAAUUAGGUCUAUAAAGAUAUUAUUUACUGAAUAUAUCAGCAUAGCAGAAUUUGUAACUGAUGUGCGGUGUUUCUGCCCCAUCCGAAGCCACUGUUUGUAGAUAGGAAAGGGCAUUUGAUAAGGCAGAAUCGAGUGUCCAAGAUUUACUUCGGAUAGGGCGCCCUUAAACGUCAGCUUCCUCUCAGAGCACUGUAGCUCGUAGCAGAAGACUCGAGAUAAACAGUUUCCGAAAUAGCUGCAUCACUGGGCAUUCAUCGGAAAGUAUCCAAGAAAUUCUGACUAGUCACUUAAAAUGAUUAAAGGUGUGUGGAAGGUUGAUACCCCAUCUUUGACCAAAUAGCAAUACACCGAAGUGUACAGUAUUGCAAACAAAAAACUUCUAAAAAUCUAUAAAAAUGCAAACGAAAGGAGGUUUAAUGAACUUCUCACAGGGGAUGGGACAUGGGUAAAUUAUUUCAAACCUCAAAGGCGGACAAACAGCAAACAGUGGCUUCGGAAAGGGCAGGGACGAUCAGCAUAAUCGCAACAGCGCAAAGUUGUAAACCAGUUCUUUACACAAUUUUCUUUAAUUCCAAAGACCCUGUUGCGCAGAUAUCUAGUGCUCCCGGUGGUUCUAAAAUCAUCAAGAAAACAUCGUUAAACGUCGCCCACAAACUGGUUUGGGGCAUCUGCCUUAUUCAUGACAAUGCACAAUAUUGUAAGGCAUUAUUUACAGGAGUAGCAUUUCAAGCAACUGCCGCACCCUCAAUAUUCACCCGACCUAAGUCCAUUUGUUUUAGGGGUGCAUGACGUACAAAAUACGUUAUGAGGUGUUUUUAUGAAGAUAUCAAUUGUUAUUACUAAUAACAUCGUGUUUAAAAUUAAAACAUAUGUGUGCCUGCGAGUUAAAGAAUGUGCUACUGGAAACAACAAUUCGGACAAUAGCGCUUAUUAAUUACAUGCUUUAAACUUUUAACACAUGAAACAUCAAAAUGCUUUAUAUCACUAAUAUGAGAUUUUUUUAUGCCCCCGAAGGGAGGCAUAUAGUUUUUGAACCGUCUGUCAGUCUGUCAGUCUGUCAGUCUGUCUGUCCGCAAUUUUCGUGUCCGGUCCAUAUAUUUGUCAUCGAUAGAUGGAUUUUCAAAUAACUUGGCAUGAAUGUGUACCACAGUAAGACGACGUGUCGUGUGCAAGACCCAGGUCCGUAGCUCAAAGGUCAAGGUCACACUUAGACGUUAAAGGUCAUUUUUCAUGAUAGUGCAUUCGUGUCCGGUCAAUAUCUUUGUCAUCCAUGGAUGGAGUUUCAAAUAACUUGGCAUGAAUGUGUACCACAGUAAGACGACGUGUCGCGCGCAAGACCCAGGUCCGUAGCUCAAAGGUCAAGGUCACACUUAGACGUUUAAGGUCAUUUUUCAUGAUAGUGCAUUCGUGUCCGGUCCAUAUCUUUGUCAUCCAUGGAUGGAUUUUCAAAUAACUUGGCAUGAAUGUGUACCACAGUAAGACGACGUGUCGCGCACAAGACCCAGGUCCGUAGCUCAAAGGUCAAGGUCACACUUAGACGUUAAAGGUCAUACUUCAUGAUAGUGCAUUGAUGGGCGUGUCCGGUCCAUACCUUUGUCAUUCAUGCAUGGAUUUUAAAAUUAUUGGGCAUGAAUGUGUACCACAGUAAGACGACGUGUCGCGCUCAAGACCCAGGUCCGUAGGUCAAAGGUCCUAAACUCUAACAUCGGCCAUAACUAUUCAUUCAGAGUGCCAUUGGGGGCAUGUGUCAUCCUAUGGAGACAGCUCUUGUUUUAUCAAUUCCUUUCUUUGAAAUAAAUUCGUUCACAACCUUACUUGCUGUCUUUAAUCGAAAUGAAUGUAUUUUUUCUCGUUUGUUUUGGGUCUAGUGCCGUUUUUCAUCGGUAUUGUAGUUAUGUAAAGGUGGGCAAUUAACAUUAUAUGUCCAGUGAUCAUUAUUAACCUGUUCUCCACCAGUAAGUGUGAGCUUUUCCACAUGGAUCAGAGGUAGAGAAUGGUUUUAGACAUAUGCUUCGCAUGGGGCUCGAGCUCACAACCCGUGAUCCAUAAAUCUGCUCUGUCACUACCGAGCUAUGCGGACGGGCUAGAAAUUCUUACUAAUAAAUGCUUGAAUUCAUUCACUUCUUUAGAACUCAAUGCUUAAAGAAAGUGUUUUUGUUUAUAAUUUUUCGAUUAUUAUUUAGAAUAAAUAUAAGCAAGGAAUAAGGUUAAGGUAUUCCAGUAACUGUUUAUAUGGUAACGUGGCAAUGCCUUGAAUUCCGAUCUGCACGUGUAACCAGUGAAAAUCCUUAUAGUCUUAAUCUUGAGUGCUUACUCAGUAUCUCCUAUUUUGAUCCUUAAAUUCUAUUAUCGUUAACAUAUGUAUCAAGCGAUAUCAUCUCAUUUUAACGAGACGGAUUUCAGCCAAAUUAAUUUGAAAUUUACUCGAAAUGUUAGGAAAACAAAUGUUUUUACGAAAUUCCCAUAUUCGCGUUUUCUAUUCGUUAGCCAUAAAUUACAUUGUUUACACCAAA
Mercenaria mercenaria is the source of this 3472-nucleotide long non-coding RNA. RefSeq lists it as uncharacterized. The record is from RefSeq and is a predicted model, not a curated record. The transcript is spliced from 2 exons. NCBI's taxonomy places the organism in Eukaryota, Metazoa, Mollusca, Bivalvia, Venerida, Veneridae.